AUUGAACGCUGGCGGCAUGCCUUACACAUGCAAGUCGAACGGCAGCACGGGUGCUUGCACCUGGUGGCGAGUGGCGAACGGGUGAGUAAUAUAUCGGAACGUACCUUAUCGUGGGGGAUAACGCAGCGAAAGCUGCGCUAAUACCGCAUACGCCCUGAGGGGGAAAGCGGGGGACCGUAAGGCCUCGCGCGAUUAGAGCGGCCGAUAUCUGAUUAGCUUGUUGGUGGGGUAAAAGCCUACCAAGGCGACGAUCAGUAGCUGGUCUGAGAGGACGAUCAGCCACACUGGGACUGAGACACGGCCCAGACUCCUACGGGAGGCAGCAGUGGGGAAUUUUGGACAAUGGGGGCAACCCUGAUCCAGCAAUGCCGCGUGAGUGAAGAAGGCCUUCGGGUUGUAAAGCUCUUUUGUCAGGGAAGAAACAGCAGCUCUAACACAGUCUGCGAAUGACGGUACC
RNAcentral lists this ribosomal RNA (457 nucleotides) under Polynucleobacter sp. Fw70s-18. Its description in RNAcentral is "bacterial SSU rRNA". It matches the Rfam family "Bacterial small subunit ribosomal RNA", at positions 30 to 479 of the family's 1533-position model. Lineage: Bacteria; Pseudomonadati; Pseudomonadota; Betaproteobacteria; Burkholderiales; Burkholderiaceae. The record is from RNAcentral.